AGCUCCAAUAGCGUUUACUAAAGUUGCUGCAGUUAAAAACCUCGUUGUAGGAUCUCGGGUCCAUGCCUGCGGUACGCCUUGCGGCGCACGCUGCUCGUCCUGACCCCCUAGCCGGUUCAACUGCCCUGGUGCUCUUGACUGAGUGUCUUGGCCGGCCGGAAGGUUUACUUUGAAGAAAUUAGAGUGCUUAAAGCAGGCCCUAGCCGCCUGGAUAAUGUUGCAUGGAAUAAUGGAAUAGGACCUCAGUUCUAUUUGGUUGGUUUUCGGAGCACGAGGUAAUGAUUGAUAGGGACUGACAGGGGCACUCGUAUUGCGGCGCUAGAGGUGAAAUUCUUGGACCAUCGCAAGACGACCGACAGCGAAAGCAUUUGCCAAGCAUGUUUUCA
Molecule: ribosomal RNA, 386 nt
Filed under: marine Metazoa environmental sample
Lineage: Eukaryota; Metazoa
Description: SSU rRNA
Rfam family: Eukaryotic small subunit ribosomal RNA
Source: RNAcentral